Long non-coding RNA from Oncorhynchus nerka (sockeye salmon), 2091 nucleotides. RefSeq lists it as uncharacterized. NCBI's taxonomy places the organism in Eukaryota, Metazoa, Chordata, Actinopteri, Salmoniformes, Salmonidae. The record is from RefSeq and is a predicted model, not a curated record. The transcript has 2 exons.
GAUGAGGUCCACAGGGGGGGUGGAGGAGUCUGUUCUCUUGACCUGGUUUGGUAAGUACACUGAUAUGAUGGUUACUGGAUUUCUGACCCUAAUUCUUGUAUUAUUUGUUAUUGAUGUGAUGUGCUGCUUGCAUCAUACCGUGUUCUAAGAAAUAUGUUACAGAUAUGGUGAAGGCUUCAGGCAUGUUGCCUUUGCUUGAUGCUCCAGUUGGAGAUGCCGAUACGGAAGCAUGCUUUCAGGAGAGGAUGGGACUGACUGAGGAUGACCCAUGGUAUGCUGUGGGUGAGGUAGUAGAAUAAUUUUACACCACCACAGUUCCUUGUUAUAAAUUUUUAUGAUAGGUUUUCUUUCCAGUAUGUUUGUUCUCCCUGUUGUAAAGGUUUAGAGUCCCUGGGUGGCAAGGAGCCCACCUGGUACAGGAUAGGAGUAGCUGAGAGGACCAGAUGGUUUCUAAUAAUUCUUUCCUCUGUUUUCCAUGACCAAAGUUUUAUCCUACAUCUUACAUGUCAAUAACAAUAAAGUUUUAUCCUGUUUUUGAUAAGUGACACCCUUGUGGGUGUCAAAAGGGGGAAACGCAUAUAACAAUAGACAUAUAUCACUUGUUAUUAAUAAUAAACUUUUUAUUAUUUUCAUGAAAUGCUAUGACUGCUGAAAUAAAGGAUAAUGAGUGUCAAAAGGGGGACUUAAAUUUCACACCCUUGGGGUUAUUUUACAUUAUAGCCAUUACCAUAUAUAUGAUUGAAUAUUAUCUGCUGUUGCCUUGGGUGGAUGUGUGUAUGUGUUAUGUUCUCUAGCUGAUUUGAAACAUUGUUAAAAGUAUCAGGGCCAUGGAACUUUCUCAUGCUGGGAAAAUACAGAAGGGAGGGCACAUUCAGAGCGUGGGGUUGCGAGAACAAGCAGUCUUUUGUUAGAUAACAGGAGCCAGGUGCGAGAUAACGGUAUGGAGCAUGAGACCCAUCUUUUAGUUUUGCAGCCAUUUUAGUGUUGUGCGGCUGCGGUUGCAUUCCAUGUAUCCGGUCCCUUACUGCUAGAGUUAUCUCCAGAGCUAUUGACCCUUCUUCCCUUCCCAGAUGUAUCCUCUGCUUGCUAAUGACCUGCCAGAGUUUGAGGAUGAGGUGGAGAAUACCCAUUAGAGUGUGUCACAUCUCUUUGGAGAUGUGAAGAGAGGGUAUCACAACUUUUUCCUGCUGGAAAAGGUUGGCUUAUGUGGACAAACAUUUUACUUAUAGCUUAGAGCUGUUGUUCUCCGCAAUUGUUAAAUGAGGGUUGUAAGUUCCUAGGUGGCUGGUAGCCAACUUAGUACAUAGUGGGAUUGAGUGGAGAACUUGGUGGUAAUACAUAUACAUCCAUUUCUUUUUAAUGUUGUGCCUUUUUCAUAGCCCCUUUGGGAAAAGUUUUCUUUUGUAUCAGAAUCUAGUUAGGUUGUGUCACCUCUCUGGGGAGACGUGAAGAGAGGGAUUUGUAGAGGACUGCUAAUUCCUAUGUAGGUGACAUUACACUACUAUAGCUGAGACACAUAGUAAAACAGGUUGGGCCCCAUACAGGAUAUUUCUCACACACACACUCACUGUAAUCAUCCAGAACACUGUCACAACAGGAUACUCCUAGCCACAGGUGCUAGCCGGCAGUUCGGCCACAACUCCCCUGAAGAUAGGGACGCACACACUUUACACACUGACCCCAGAAGACAGGGACGACGCACAUACAGUACACACAUAGCUGCCGAGGACACACAGAUAAGACACCCACAGAUUGGCAGAAAGCCUAGACUUAGUGACUGAAGAUAGCGCACACACCAGAUCUCCUUUUCAGCUGAACAUGGUGUGACGACCAAGAACAGGCAUGGCAGGAUUCUACGAUGACGGACAGACAACAGAGCCAAUGCCGGAUGACUACACCCCAGCCUGAUCCAAUCCGAAGAUCCGAUCUCCUAGAUAUCAACCUACUUUCUGUUCUGUAUAUGAAGCUUGUACCCAUUGUUAGCUAGUGUCUUUUUUGCUAGUCUCUGAUGAGCUAACAGAGGGGCCCGUAUAUACGCUGUACCAGAUAUCUCCACUUUGAAAUAAACCUGUCGCUUGUCGUACAAUCUAC